Molecule: long non-coding RNA, 1166 nt
Filed under: Homo sapiens (human)
Lineage: Eukaryota; Metazoa; Chordata; Mammalia; Primates; Hominidae
Description: HSALNT0302356
Source: RNAcentral
AAAAGGGGGGGGGGGGUUGUUGCUUUGAGGGAAGUUACGCUUAUUUUUUUUUUCAAUCUUUUUUUUUUUUUUUUUUUUUUUUUUGUCCUGAGAGAGAAUCUUGCUCUGUCGCCCAGGCUGAAGUUCAGUGGUGAGAUCUCGGCUCACUGCAACCUCCGGCUCCCGGGUUCAAGCAAUUCUCCUGCCUCAGCCUCCUGAGUAGCUGGGAUUACAGGUGUGCGCCACCACACCUGGCUAAUUUUUUUUUUUUUUUGAGAUGAAGUCUUGCUCUGUCGCCCAGGCUAUAGUGCAAUGGCGCGAUCUCAGCUCACUGCAACCUCCACCUCCUGGGUUCAAAGUGAUUCUCCUGCCUCAGCCUCCUGAGAAGCUGGGACUACAGGUGCGUGCCACCACGUCCGGCUAAUUUUUGGUAUUUUUAGUAGAGAUGGGGUUUCACCACAUUAGCCAGGAUGGUCUCCAUCUCCUGACCUCAUGAUCCACUCACCUUGGCGUCCCAAAGUGCUGGGACUACAGGCGUGAGCCACCGCACCCAGCUAGAGCACUCAUCAUUAUCAAGAACUUUGGAGGCCCUGAGAUUCGAGACAAUUGAAGGGAUCCAGAAUAAGCCAUUGUGCCAUAAAAAUUUUUGUGAGCUGAAAGCAUUUGGGGUCCUGAAGUCCCUUAUCUUCCUAAAAGCAGAGGCUCCCAAAAGAACUCAAAAGAACUCAGUUAUCAUAAAUCCCCUCCCUGGGAACAACUCUAAUCUUGAGAGAGAAUUUGGCCAGCACACCCAAAGAGACAUUAUCAGAAAACUGUCAUAUCUCCCAUCUGUUCUCCUAAGGGCCCAUUUAUCUUUCCUGAAAGUCAUUUGUUUUUCCAGAAGUGCUCUUUUUCCUUCCCUCGUCUAAGAAGUCAUUUAUUUUCCUGGUAAGUACUCUUUUCCCACUCUGCGUCACCUAUUAGGUGGUAUAAAGCCCUAAAGUCUAUCCACCUCUUUGAGUUGCAUUUCUUUGUAAAUGCCUGUACAUGAUUAAAAUUCAUCUUUUCUCUUGUGAAUCUGUUUUUUGUCAGUUUAAUUUUAGACCCCCAAUUACAAAACCUAAGAGCAGAGGAAAAAAUUUUCUUCCCCACAAGGUCAACCUCUUAUUCAUAAACUAAAAACACAAAAUACAUAAAAUAAAUAUAAG